GUUCGAUUCUGGCUCAGAUUGAACGCUGGCGGGAUGUUUCUGCAUGCAAGUCGAACGGCAGCACGGACUUCGGUCUGGUGGCGAGUAGCGAACUGGGUGAGUAAUGUAUCGGAACGUGCCUAGUAGCAGAGGAUAACUACGCGAAAGCGGCAACUAAUACCGCAUACGCCCUUCGGGGAAAAGCGGGGACGCCCGAGCUCGCGCACUGUCGACGGCCGAUAUCGGAUUGGCUAGUUGGUGGGGUAACGGCUCACCAAGGCGACGAUCCAUAGCUGGUUUGAAGGACGACCAGCCACUGGGACUGAGAGACGGCCCAGACUCCUACGAGGCAGCAGUGGGGAAUUUUGGACAAUGGAAACCUGAUCCAGCCAUCCGCGUGUGCGAUGAAGGCCUUCGGGUUGUAAAGCACUUUGGCGGGAAAGAAACGGCGGGAUAAUACCCCGUGCAACUGACGGCCGCCUGCACAGAAUAAGCACCGGCUAACUACGUGCCAGCAACUCGCGGUAAUACGUAGGGUGCAAGUGUUAAUCGGAAUUACUGGGCGUAAAGCGUGCGCAGGCAGUUCGGAAAGGAAGAUGUGAAAUCCCAGAGCUUAACUUUGGAACUGCAUUUUUAACUACCGAGCUAGAGUGUGUCAGAGGGAGGUGGAAUUAGCGAUGACAGCAGUGAAAUGCGUAGAUAUGCCCGGAGAACACCGAUGGCGAAGGCAGCCUCCUGGGAUAACACUGACGCUCAUGCACGAAAGCGUGGGGAGCAAACAGGAUUGCAGACCACACUGGUAGUCCGCCUAAACGAUGUCAACUGGCUGUUGGGACUGGGCCUUGGUAGCGCAACUAACGCGUAAAGUUGACCGCCUGGGAGUAGUCGCAAGGAAUUAAAACUCAAAGGAAUUGACGGGGACCCGCACAAGAAAGCGGUGGAUGAUGUGGAUUAAUUCAGUACAACUUUGAAAAACCUUACCUACCCUUGACGUGUCUGGAAUCCCGAAGAGAUUUGGGAGUGCUCGCAAAGAGAACCGGAACACAGGUGCUGCAUGGCUGUCGUCAGCUCGUGUCGUGAGAUGUUGGGUUAAGUCCCACCAACGAGCGCAACCCUUGUCGUGGAUUUGCUGAAAGGGCGCUCUAAUGAGACUGCCGGUGACAAACCGGAGGAAGGUGGGGAUAGCGUCAAGUCCUCAUGGCCCUUAUGGGUAGGGCUUCACACAUCGCACAAUGGUCGGGACAGAGGGUCGCCAACCCCGCGAGGAGAGGAAUGAUCCCAGAAACCCGAUCGUAGUCGGAUCGCAGUCUGCAACUCGACUGCGUGAAGUCGGAAUCGCUAGUAAUCGCGGAUCAAUGUCGCGGUGAAUACGUUCCCGGGUCUUGUACACACCGCCCGUCACACCAGCAGGAGUGGGUUUUACCGAAGUAGUUAGCUAACCGUAAGGAGGGCGAUUACCACAGUAGGGAUUCAUGACUGGGGUGAAGUCGUAACAAGGUAG
This 1480-nucleotide ribosomal RNA is filed under the name uncultured Bordetella sp. RNAcentral's name for it is "partial 16S-23S ribosomal RNA intergenic spacer". It matches the Rfam family "Bacterial small subunit ribosomal RNA". The record is from RNAcentral. Lineage: Bacteria; Pseudomonadati; Pseudomonadota; Betaproteobacteria; Burkholderiales; Alcaligenaceae.